Molecule: ribosomal RNA, 466 nt
Filed under: uncultured bacterium
Lineage: Bacteria
Description: bacterial SSU rRNA
Rfam family: Bacterial small subunit ribosomal RNA
Source: RNAcentral
UCCAGACUCCUACGGGAGGCAGCAGUGAGGAAUAUUGGUCAAUGGCCGGAAGGCUGAACCAGCCAAGUCGCGUGAGGGAAUAAGGCCCUAUGGGUCGUAAACCUCUUUUAUCAGGGAGCAAAGGCGUCCACGAGUGGACGAAAGGAGAGUACCUGAAGAAAAAGCAUCGGCUAACUCCGUGCCAGCAGCCGCGGUAAUACGGAGGAUGCGAGCGUUAUCCGGAUUCAUUGGGUUUAAAGGGUGCGUAGGUUGUUUUAUAAGUUAGCGGUGAAAUACCGAUGCUCAACAUCGGGGCUGCCGCUAAUACUGUAGGACUAGAGAUCGGAUGCAGCAGGCGGAAUGUGUAGUGUAGCGGUGAAAUGCAUAGAUAUUACACAGAACACCGAUUGCGAAGGCAGCUUGCUAGGCCGGAUCUGACACUGAUGCACGAAAGCGUGGGGAUCGAACAGGAUUAGAUACCCUUGUA